This is a non-coding RNA of Hypoxylon argillaceum, 90 nucleotides long. The record is from the annotation of a GenBank genome assembly. Lineage: Eukaryota; Fungi; Ascomycota; Sordariomycetes; Xylariales; Hypoxylaceae.
GUUUUCGUGGCCUAGUGGUUAGGGCGUCUGUCUUACAGGAAACAACAUACUGAUCACAGAAGAUCCCCGGUUCGAUCCCGGGCGGAAACA